GGUGUGUGUGUGGGUGUGUGUGGUAUUGGCUCAUGCAGUUAUGGAGGCUGACAAGUCCUAAGACCUACAGUCAGCAAACUGGAGACCCGGGAGAGCUGAUGGGGUAAGUUCCAGUCCGAGUCUGAGUUGGAAGGUAGGAGAAGAUGGAUGUCCCAGCUCAAAGACAGUCGGGCAGAGAGAGAGACAAAUCUUUUUCACUCAGUUUUUUGUUCUAUUCGGGCCCGCAGUGGAUUGGUUGGGGUCCACCCACAUUGGGGAGGGCAGUUUGCUGUCCUCAGAUCACAAUUCACAUGUUAAGCUCAUCCGCAAACACCUUCACAGAUACACCCAGAAUAACAUUUGACCAAAUGUCUGGGUACUCUUGGUCCCAGGCAAGUGGACACAUAAAAAUAACCCUCAUACUCCCAGUACCCAAGACAGCCUGACACAGAGCAGGAGCUCAGUCCACAUUUAUUGAAUGAAUGAAUGAAUGAAUGAUGGGGGUGGAGAGACUUGACUUUGACAUGGGAUCCCCCCUGUAUGGCUGAAGCCACUCUUGCUUCAAAUCCACACAAACCCCACCUCCUUCUCUGGGGCAUCUUCUCUGCAUCUCCCCCUCCUGGGUGCACCUGACCUCUCUGACCUUGGGCCUCACAGAGCCCUGGGUCACGUUGUCUCUGUUGGGACCCUCCAGGUUGUCCCCAGGGAUGGCAUCCCCGGGGAGGACCCCUCCCCCCGUGGUAGAUGUCCUCGGGGGCAGCAUCUGGAUUCCAUUCACCUCCACAUCCUGAACAUGCAAAUGGCAGAUGCCCCCUCCUUGCCCCACUCAACAUAAAGGAUUCAUGGAGUAGAUGCGCUUUUUUUGCGGUACGCGGGCCUCUCACCGCCAUAGCCUCUCCCCUUGCAGAGCACAGGCUCCGGACGCGCAGGCUCAGCAGCCAUGGCUCAUGGGCCCAGCCGCUCCGCGGCAUGUGGGAUCUUCCCGGACCAGGGCACGAACCCGCGUCCCCUGCAUUGGCAGGCGGACUCUCAACCACUGCGCCACCAGGGAAGCGCCUGAGUAGAUGCUUUGAAGGAUCUUCUAACCCUCAAAAGGGCUCCCCAUUCCUCAUAGGGUGCCUGGAAUCCCCUGGAGCAUCAGUCUGAACAUACGUGUGGUGUCCUCAGAAGACCCCCAGGGAAGAUGUAGAGGGUCCACGUUGCCAGCCCCUGGGAAUCAUGAGUAUGUGGACGGAGCACAGGCAAGACAGCAUUGCGCAUGUGCAAAAUGGGAACGCAUGUCUCCAGGAUGACCCCGGAACCAGGAAUCUUCAGCUGACGGAACUUAAAGAAUAGAAAUGUUGCCAGCGGAGCCCUUUACGAAAGGAGAAGUCCUUCAAUCAGGAGACUCUGGCUUCCAGCAGUAGCUUAUUUGGACUGAUUCGAGACUAGCCAAUCAGCUUCCAAGUCUGAAGUUCCCUUAAGCCGUUAAAUUUCACCCAGAAGCCUGGAUUGAGGAGAGAGAUUUGAGCUCUGCUUCCUGUUUCCUUGCAGGUCGACCUCGCAGUGAAGCUUUCUUUCCUCAAAAGCUGGUGUCAUAGUAUCAGCUCCUACGUGCAUCAGGCAGCCAGCACUUGCUGGGUAACAGAGGUAUCUUCUAUAAAGACCUUCAAGUGACAUCUUGCAUACAGAUCUUAGUUCCCCAGUGAGGGAUCGAACCUAUGCCCCCUGCAGUGGAAGCGUGGAGUCUUAACCACUGGGCUGCCAGGGAAGAACCCUGUAUUUGGUUUUGAUUGCCCAGCGUCAAGAAAAUUUGGAAUCAUAGCCAGGAGCUCUUAUUAUUCUGCCAUGUUCCUGCUUGUCGGAGCACCUGUGUGCUGCCUUGAGCUGAGAGCUCUGAACGAAACCUCGCCUGCUGCGUCGGAUUCACUGACAAACCUCCCGAGGUGGCAGGGGUUUUGAUUGUCGCUGUCCCUCGCCUUGCACCUGGCCUGGGUCCACCAAGCAUUCUCCCCACCUGUUCACGCCCAGGUCCACACAGCAGGUCGCCUGGGCAACCCACCCAGACGUCACUGGAAGCUCUGGCGGCUGGCCCAGGAGCUGAAGCAGCUGGUGGCUGGAUCACGUUUCCAGGGAUCCUGAGAUCUUUCCUGGAAAGCUGCCUCCCCAACUUGCUGUGUGAUGCACACAUGGCAACUGAGGGAAAUGUCCCUCCCAGGGCUCAAUUUCUCCAGCUGUAAAAUGGGACUGCUAAAUGGGCCAACCCGCGGGCUAUCAGACAGAACAAAUGAGAACCUAUUAAGCUGCUUAGAAAGUAAAAGGCAAGGUGCGUAUAGUUUGAUGGAGUCAAAAUUUGGACCCCAAAGAAAAAAGCAGGGCAAAUAA
Long non-coding RNA from Globicephala melas (long-finned pilot whale), 2343 nucleotides. RefSeq lists it as uncharacterized. The record is from RefSeq and is a predicted model, not a curated record. NCBI's taxonomy places the organism in Eukaryota, Metazoa, Chordata, Mammalia, Artiodactyla, Delphinidae.